RNAcentral lists this ribosomal RNA (1056 nucleotides) under uncultured bacterium. RNAcentral's name for it is "bacterial SSU rRNA". It matches the Rfam family "Bacterial small subunit ribosomal RNA", at positions 336 to 1393 of the family's 1533-position model. The record is from RNAcentral.
CUCCUACUGGAGGCAGCAGUGAGGAAUAUUGGUCAAUGGGCGCGAGCCUGAACCAGCCAAGUAGCGUGAAGGAUGAAGGUCCUACGGAUUGUAAACUGCUUUUAUAAGGGAAUAAAGUGAGAGUCGUGACUCUUUUUGCAUGUACCUUAUGAAUAAGGACCGGCUAAUUCCGUGCCAGCAGCCGCGGUAAUACGGAAGGUCCGGGCGUUAUCCGGAUUUAUUGGGUUUAAAGGGAGCGUAGGCCGGAGAUUAAGCGUGUUGUGAAAUGUAGAUGCUCAACAUCUGAACUGCAGCGCGAACUGGUUUCCUUGAGUACGCACAAAGUGGGCGGAAUUCGUGGUGUAGCGGUGAAAUGCUUAGAUAUCACGAAGAACUCCGAUUGCGAAGGCAGCUCACUGGAGCGCAACUGACGCUGAAGCUCGAAAGUGCGGGUAUCGAACAGGAUUAGAUACCCUGGUAGUCCGCACGGUAAACGAUGGAUGCCCGCUGUUGGUCUGAAUAGGUCAGCGGCCAAGCGAAAGCAUUAAGCAUCCCACCUGGGGAGUACGCCGGCAACGGUGAAACUCAAAGGAAUUGACGGGGGCCCCCACAAGCGGAGGAACAUGUGGUUUAAUUCGAUGAUACGCGAGGAACCUUACCCGGGCUUGAAUUGCAGAGGAAGGAUUUGGAGACAAUGACGCCCUUCGGGGCCUCUGUGAAGGUGCUGCAUGGUUGUCGUCAGCUCGUGCCGUGAGGUGUCGGCUUAAGUGCCAUAACGAGCGCAACCCCUCUCCUUAGUUGCCAUCAGGUCAUGCUGGGCACUCUGGGGACACUGCCACCGUAAGGUGUGAGGAAGGUGGGGAUGACGUCAAAUCAGCACGGCCCUUACGUCCGGGGCUACACACGUGUUACAAUGGCAGGUACAGAGAGACGGUCCCUUGCAAAAUGGAUCAAAUCCUUAAAGCCUGUCUCAGUUCGGACUGGGGUCUGCAACCCGACCCCACGAAGCUGGAUUCGCUAGUAAUCGCGCAUCAGCCAUGGCGCGGUGAAUACGUUCCCGGGCCUUGUACACACCGC